Non-coding RNA from Python bivittatus (Burmese python), 995 nucleotides. The record is from RefSeq and is a predicted model, not a curated record. NCBI's taxonomy places the organism in Eukaryota, Metazoa, Chordata, Lepidosauria, Squamata, Pythonidae.
UCUGCCUAACAAAUAGAUCUAUAAAGGCUAUGCCUUCAAGGCUGCAUUUGACUCUCUCUCUCAUCUCCCCUUUACCAGAUGCCUGCAAAAGCUGUUCAGUCCUGAUCCAAGCAAGACUUCUUCAGCGUUCGUCAAGUCUACAUCUCUGGUGCGGCACCUGGUGAUCAGCUUAUGUGACCCAUUGAGUUGUCCAGGGAAAUGCAGUGGACAAAGCACACCUUGGCUUCAGCAAAGCUUUUGACCAACUCUCCAAUGAGAUCCUACUGUAAGGAAUGCCCCGUUCGUCAAGAGAAACUCCCGUGACACGUGUGGUUCACAAAAGAGGUUUACUCAGGCGUAACGCAACAGUUACAAACAAAGCCAGGACUGGCUUGGCACAUUUUGUUGUACAAUUUAUAACUCUCCCCUUCCCACGGUUCGCCCCGUCGUCAGGUUACAAGUUACGGAUUAUCGAUACCCCAAUAAUCCCCCUUAAUGUUCCAAAUGGCAGGUUCAGCCAGUAUCCCAUUGUCUUAGAUUGCCUGCCCCUCCGGCGUGGGCUUGUUUCCUCAGGGUUCUUUCAGUUGCACGCCACACCAGGGUUUGCUUGAUCGCGCGGUGAUCUCCUUUCCAUGACUCGCGGCUUUGUUCUUUGUCUCACGCGCGCCGCUCAUCAGGGUGGAUACAAAACGUCCACUCUGCGGUUUCCUGUUAACUGGGCGCAGGUGGCCCAUUAAUCAGCUGCGGCUCUACUUCCUCUUUUACCUCGGCUUGCGAGUGGGCGGUAGUAUUGGCUCAGCGCGGCUGGCCGGUUUUCCUAGCAGUGCCGCGCCAGCUGAACCUGACACCUACUACAGGAGAUAGCAAAAAUGUGGACUGGAUCAGACUGGACUGUCUAGACUACUAUUAGAUCAACAGAGAGCUAGUUGAACAACUAUAGGGAGUCCUUGACUUAUGACGGCAAUUGGGACCGGAAUUUCCAUCACUAAGCAAUGCGGUCGUAAAGUGCAACCACA